RNAcentral lists this ribosomal RNA (459 nucleotides) under uncultured bacterium. RNAcentral describes it as "partial 16S ribosomal RNA". It matches the Rfam family "Bacterial small subunit ribosomal RNA", at positions 338 to 795 of the family's 1533-position model. The record is from RNAcentral.
CCUACGGGUGACAGCAGUGAGGAAUAUUGGUCAAUGGUCGGGAGACUGAACCAGCCAAGCCGCGUGAGGGAUGAAGGUACAGAGUAUCGUAAACCUCUUUUGUCAGGGAACAAAGGCGGGGACGUGUCCCCGGAUGAGUGUACCUGAAGCAAAAGCAUCGGCUAACUCCGUGCCAGCAGCCGCGGUAAUACGGAGGAUGCGAGCGUUAUCCGUAUUUAUUGGGGUUAAGGGGUGCGCAGGCGGUCUGUUAAGUCAGCGGUCAAAGCCCGGGGCUCACCCCCGGCCCGCCGUUGAAACUGGCAGGCUCGAGUUGGAGAGAAGUAGGCGGAAUGCGCGGUGUAGCGAUGAAAUGCAUAGAUAUCGCGCAGAACUCCGAUUGCGAAGGCAGCAUGCCGGCUCCACACUGACGCUGAGGCACGAAAGCGUGGGUAUCGAACAGGAUUAGAUACCCCUGUAGUC